This 239-nucleotide ribosomal RNA is filed under the name uncultured bacterium. RNAcentral describes it as "partial 16S ribosomal RNA". It matches the Rfam family "Bacterial small subunit ribosomal RNA", at positions 118 to 354 of the family's 1533-position model. The record is from RNAcentral.
UGAGCAACCUGCCCUUGACUCUGGAAUAACAGUUGGAAACACCUGCUAAUACUGGAUAUUCAUUGUCCUCCUCCUGGGGGGUGGUGGAAAGCUCCGGCGGUCAGGGACGAGCUCGCGGCCUAUCAGCUAGUUGGUGUGGGUAAUGACCCACCAAGGCGACGACGGGUAGCCGGCCUGAGAGGGCGACCGGCCACACUGGGACUGAGACACGGCCCAGACUCCGUACGGGAGGCAGCAGG